GCUUCAGACUUAGUUUAGUUAGCUUAAUCAAGUAUUUUAGUAUAGUUAGCUUAGUUGGUUAAGAACCUUUAUUUUGUUUUCUCCCCAUUUUUUUUUAAGGAGGAACUAGGGGGUGGAGGGGGUUGCCCAGAACUAGUUAACUGCCACUGCAGGUCCAAGACAGGGAGAGCACAUGUGCGGCCCAGCCAGGUACUACUGUCAAAAUUCUCUGACUAAAGGCGCAGGGUGCACAGUCACAUAAAGUGGAUCACUCACAGGGGCUCACAUCUCAAAGAACUUCAGUUACUGCACAUGUGAGUACACACAAGUGCCUAGGAAUCUCGUCAUGGACCAGGAGCUCAUUGAAUUAGGAUUUUUCCCAAAAUUUUAAGGAACAAUGGGGCCAAGUCAAGAAACUAUCUCAAUGUGUACCUCAAAUAUGGGAGAAGUGUGGAAAACUUAAAUAUGUUUUAAAGGGACACUUCUCUUGUUUAUUUUGAAUGUCUUAUUUUUGCAAAUUCUAUUUUCUGAUAAAUAUCCUUUAGU
Molecule: long non-coding RNA, 525 nt
Organism: Mauremys reevesii (Reeves's turtle)
Lineage: Eukaryota; Metazoa; Chordata; Testudines; Geoemydidae
Exons: 3
Source: RefSeq, a predicted model, not a curated record